GAUGAACGCUGGCGGCGUGCCUAAUACAUGCAAGUCGAGCGAACAGACGAGGAGCUUGCUCCUCUGACGUUAGCGGCGGACGGGUGAGUAACACGUGGAUAACCUACCUAUAAGACUGGGAUAACUUCGGGAAACCGGAGCUAAUACCGGAUAAUAUAUUGAACCGCAUGGUUCAAUAGUGAAAGACGGUUUUGCUGUCACUUAUAGAUGGAUCCGCGCCGCAUUAGCUAGUUGGUAAGGUAACAGCUUACCAAGGCAACGAUGCGUAGCCGACCUGAGAGGGUGAUCGGCCACACUGGAACUGAGACACGGUCCAGACUCCUACGGGAGGCAGCAGUAGGGAAUCUUCCGCAAUGGGCGAAAGCCUGACGGAGCAACGCCGCGUGAGUGAUGAAGGUCUUCGGAUCGUAAAACUCUGUUAUUGGGGAAGAACAAAUGUGUAAGUAACUAUGCACGUCUUGACGGUACCUAAUCAGAAAGCCACGGCUAACUACGUG
This 497-nucleotide ribosomal RNA is filed under the name uncultured bacterium. Its description in RNAcentral is "partial 16S ribosomal RNA". It matches the Rfam family "Bacterial small subunit ribosomal RNA", at positions 28 to 507 of the family's 1533-position model. The record is from RNAcentral.